UAUGAAUCAAGCGGGAACAUCCGCUAAGACUAAAUACUCCUGAGACAACGAUAGUGAACUAGUACCGUGAGGGAAAGGUGAAAAGAACCUUGAAUAAAGGAGUGAAAUAGAUCCUGAAACCAUACGCUUACAAGCGGUCGGAGCCAUUCGUGGUGACGGCGUGCCUUUUGCAUAAUGAGCCUACGAGUUACCGUUUCUAGCAAGGUUAAGUACUUUAGGUACGGAUCCGUAGCGAAAGCGAGUCUGAAUAGGGCGAAUCAGUUAGUGGCGGUAGACGCGAAACCGUGUGAUCUACCCAUGGGCAGGGUGAAGCUGUAGUAACAUACAGUGGAGGCCCGAACCGAUAUACGUUGAAAAGUGUUCGGAUGACCUGUGGGUAGGGGUGAAAGGCCAAUCAAACUCGGAAAUAGCUCGUACUCCCCGAAAUGCAUUUAGGUGCAGCGUUGAUUUAUAGUUUUAUAGAGGUAGAGCUACUGAUUGGAUGCGGGGGCUUCACCGCCUACCAAUUCCUGACAAACUCCGAAUGCUAUAUAAUGUUAAUCAGCAGUGAGGGCAUGGGUGCUAAGGUCCAUGUCCGAGAGGGAAAGAACCCAGACCAUCAGCUAAGGUCCCAAAAUAUAUGUUAAGUUGAAUAAACGAGGUUGAACUGCACAGACAGCUAGGAUGUUGGCUUGGAAGCAGCCAUUCAUUUAAAGAGUGCGUAACAGCUCACUAGUCGAGCGGUUCGGCAUGGAUAAUAAUCGGGCAUAAACAUAUUACCGAAGCUAUGGACUUGUAAAAGUGGUAGGGGAGCAUUGUAGUGUCGUCGAAGGUGAAGCGUGAGCUUUGCUGGAGAAGCUACAAAAGAAAAUGUAGGCAUAAGUAACGAUAAUGCGGGCGAGAAACCCGCACACCGAAAGACUAAGGUUUCCUCAGCUAUGCUAAUCAGCUGAGGGUUAGUCGGGACCUAACGCGAACCCGAAAGGGGUAGUGGAUGGACAACCAGUUAAUAUUCUGGUACCUGCCGGCGCUAAACGUGACGGAGGGGAGUAGUUAUUGCGUACUGACGGAAUAGUACGUUGAAGCAACUGUUAAGGUUGUGAUAGUACACCAAGGCUUCGGCUGCGGUGAUAAUAUAGCGAAUCCACUUCCAAGAAAAGCAAGCCAGGCAGCCCGUACCGCAAACCGACACAGGUAGUUGGGAUGAGAAUUCUAAGGUGCUCGAGAGAUUCAUGGCUAAGGAACUAGGCAAAAUCGUCUCGUAACUUCGGGAGAAGGGUCGCCCAUCUUCGGAUGGGCCGCAGUGAAAAGGUCCAGGCGACUGUUUAUCAAAAACACAGGGCUUUGCUAAAUUGAAAGAUGAUGUAUAAGGCCUGACACCUGCCCGGUGCUGGAAGGUUAAGUGGAGGGUUUAGCUUCGGCGAAGAUCUGAAAUGAAGCCCCAGUAAACGGCGGCCGUAACUAUAACGGUCCUAAGGUAGCGAAAUUCCUUGUCGGGUAAGUUCCGACCUGCACGAAUGGUGCAACGAUCUGGACACUGUCUCAACCAUGAGCUCGGUGAAAUUGUAGUAUCGGUGAAGAUGCCGAUUACCCGCAACGGGACGAAAAGACCCCGUGAACCUUUACUAUAGCUUCGUAUUGACCUUGGAUAAGUAAUGUGUAGGAU
Molecule: ribosomal RNA, 1645 nt
Filed under: marine metagenome
Description: bacterial LSU rRNA
Rfam family: Bacterial large subunit ribosomal RNA
Source: RNAcentral